GUGAGGAAUUUUCCGCAAUGGGCGAAAGCCUGACGGAGCAAUGCCGCGUGAAGGAUGAAGGCCUAUGGGUUGUAAACUUCUUUUCUCAGAAAAGAAUUAUGACGGUAUCUGAGGAAUAAGCAUCGGCUAACUCUGUGCCAGCAGCCGCGGUAAGACAGAGGAUGCAAGCGUUAUCCGGAAUGAUUGGGCGUAAAGCGUCUGUAGGUUGUUUAAAAAGUAUUCUGUCAAAGAUUAGGGCUUAACCCUAGAUAGGCAGAAUAAACUUUUAAGCUAGAGUUUGGUAGAGGCAGAGGGAAUUCCAGGUGGAGCGGUGAAAUGCGUAGAUAUCGGGAGGAACACCAAAGGCGAAGGCACUCUGCUGGGCCAAUACUAACACUGAGAGACGAAAGCGAGGGGAGCAAAUGGGAUUAGAAACCCUUGUAGUCC
This 426-nucleotide ribosomal RNA is filed under the name uncultured bacterium. RNAcentral's name for it is "partial 16S ribosomal RNA". It matches the Rfam family "Bacterial small subunit ribosomal RNA", at positions 354 to 796 of the family's 1533-position model. The record is from RNAcentral.